UUUGCCUACGGGACGCAGCAGUAGGGAAUAUUGCUCAAUGGGGGAAACCCUGAAGCAGCAACGCCGCGUGAGUGAAGAAGGUUUUCGGAUCGUAAAACUCUGUUGGUAGAGAAGAACGUUGGUGAGAGUGGAAAGCUCAUCAAGUGACGGUAACUACCCAGAAAGGGACGGCUAACUACGUGCCAGCAGCCGCGGUAAUACGUAGGUCCCGAGCGUUGUCCGGAUUUAUUGGGCGUAAAGCGAGCGCAGGUGGUUUAUUAAGUCUGGUGUAAAAGGCAGUGGCUCAACCAUUGUAUGCAUUGGAA
RNAcentral lists this ribosomal RNA (305 nucleotides) under uncultured bacterium. RNAcentral's name for it is "bacterial SSU rRNA". It matches the Rfam family "Bacterial small subunit ribosomal RNA", at positions 334 to 631 of the family's 1533-position model. The record is from RNAcentral.